CCUACGGGAGACAGCAGUGAGGAAUAUUGGUCAAUGGGCGCGAGCCUGAACCAGCCAAGUCGCGUGAGGGAAGACGGUCCUAUGGAUUGUAACCCUCUUUUGCCGGGGAGCAAAAGACGCAACGCGUGGCGUUCCGAGAGUACCCGAAGAAAAAGCAUCGGCUAACUCCGUGCCAGCAGCCGCGGUAAUACGGAGGAUGCGGGCGUUAUCCGGAUUUAUUGGGUUGAAAGGGUUCGCAGGCGGAAGAUCAAGUCAGCGGUAAAAUUGAGAGGCUCAACCUCUUCGAGCCGUUGAAACUUGUUUUCUUGUGUGAGUGAGAAGUAUGCGGAAUCCGUGGUGUAGCGGUGAAAUGCAUAGAUAUCACGCAGAACUCCGAUUGCGAAGGCAGCAUACCGGCGCUCAACUGACGCUCAUGCACGAAAGUGUGGGUAUCGAACAGGAUUAGAUACCCUAGUAGUC
This 459-nucleotide ribosomal RNA is filed under the name uncultured bacterium. Its description in RNAcentral is "partial 16S ribosomal RNA". It matches the Rfam family "Bacterial small subunit ribosomal RNA", at positions 338 to 795 of the family's 1533-position model. The record is from RNAcentral.